UCUAAAUAAAAAGAUAAAAAGUUCCAUCCUCAAAGCUUCCCUUUUGCUAAAACACUUCCACAUCCCCAGUGUGUUGAUCAUCAGAAAAUCUCAACCUUGUUAUUAUAAUCUGAAAAUGAGAUGUUAAUAUCUGAAUCAAAUCUCUUAUAAAAACUCGAAUAGGGUGAUCUUGAAGUUAUUAGUAUAGAUUUGAAGGCGGGUUUGAGAACAAGGGUUAGGGUUUUUUGAUGAUUAUCCUCGUGUACUCUGGCCGGAUCAUCUGAUGGAAACGUUUCUGAAGCCAUUUCGAUCAGUCAAUAGAUCCAUUGCAACGAUUGUUUGCUCUUGAGGCAUAACCUGCUUUACUAUUGAGAAUUAGCCACAAGUAUGAUUAAUCAAAGGUCAGAAUUUUUUCUCCGUGGGUGCAUUUGAACAUAUUUCAACAUGCAUGACACAAAACAUGCAAUUCAAGAUAAACUAAAGCCAAAUUUGUACAGAGGGGAACUCAAGGCGCUUUGACACCAAUUUUGGGAAACAUUCUCUAGCUGCUGUACACAAACAAAGAAUGGCCGUUCACAGAUAGGAUGUUUACAGACACCCAAGGCGCUUUGUGUAUUUGUUUGGUGAAGCAACGAAGGUAAUAGUAAGUCUAUACAUGAAAUUUUACGUUCGCGUGAAUUUCUUUUGCGAACUUUACCAAUUACUAAUGAAUGGGUCGAUUUGAGUUUCCGCUUUACAACUGGGGUCAAAUAAAAAUUUAGCUAAAGAGGAACAGUCAAUAUGGGUUGAAAUUUGUCUAAAGUUAUCUUUAACUAAGUUAAAUGUGAUGAUAUAGUUUUGCCUUUUGGUAAUCAUAAUUAACCCAUUUAAUAUUAUUAAAGAUUGUAAAAUAGACAAAGGUUUUUGCAGGUAGCCCAACUUGAGAUUUCCCCUUUCAACCCAUUAACCGACCUGCCCAUAUUGACAAUUCUAAUAUUUUAUAAAUUAAUAUUUCCAUGAUGCAAUUAGAGGUUUAAAAUGUAAUUAGAUUUCACAUAUGGGUUUAACAAAAAUGCUCACUCUCAGAUGAGAUUAUGUGAGAGGGAUGCCCCAUGAUUUUAUAAUUUUAUUUUUAGUUAUUGGUCCUUGGCCACUCAAAAGAUUCCGAGAUGCAUAUAAAAGACUUAAAGAUUUAGAUAUGCAGUUCUUGAUUGUAGGAAUAUAACAUAAGCUUUUAUAACUUCUUUAAAAUCAAAUUAUAAUUAGUUAAAUAAUUAUGAACGUCCAAACAAAAACAAAGUUGAUUCUACUUUUUCUGAUAAAGAUAAUCAGAUGUAGAGCCAAUGGAUAAGGGCGGGUAGUUUUGUGGUAAGUAACAUGGUGUACUCGAUUAUCAAAAAGUUGAAAGAUGUGCUCAAAAAUGUGGGUUUAGAUGGUAUCAUUAGUUUUCGAGUUUUGCUUUCAGUUCAAGUUUUUCGGGUCAUUUUAAAAGGUGUGGAUAGAGUCCACAGUAAUGUUAGAAUAAUACUUGGUUGGAAGAUUGUUUACAUAGGUGACACUAGGCGAUGUCUUAAACUAAUCGAAGCUUCUCAAGGAGCAACAUUGCUUAUACAUGAGGCGACUUUUGAGGAUACGUUGGUGGAUAAAGCCAUUGCAAGAAACCUCAACACAACAGGAAAAGCCGUUGAAACGGGGAACUCUUCAAGAGGCAUAUUAAGUCAUCCUUACGCAUUUCAGUCAAAAAAUCCUUAAAUACAAGUGUCCAAUGAAAGUUACAUGCAUAAAACAUGCAUUGCUUUCUUACGGCUUUUAUUUUAGUUGUCAUCAGUUUGGUGGUUGUUUCUUCUCAUGUGUUUUAGUGACAUCUAUAAUUUCAUCUUCCUUAAUUAUUAUUAUAUAUGCAUUUUAGUAGUGAUUAAGAUCUGUAUUAUAUAUAAAUUUGCGGUAUGAAUAAAGCAUGUUUUUGAUAA
This is a long non-coding RNA of Erigeron canadensis, 1928 nucleotides long. RefSeq lists it as uncharacterized. The transcript is spliced from 4 exons. Lineage: Eukaryota; Viridiplantae; Streptophyta; Magnoliopsida; Asterales; Asteraceae. The record is from RefSeq and is a predicted model, not a curated record.